AUGGUGCUCGCGCUCUCCACACCCACGUUCGUGCCCUCCACGCCUCCCGCGGCUCGACCACGUUCCGCCCCCACGGGGCCCACCACCUUCUCCUCCCCCACGCCGCCCGCCUCCUCGCCCACCGCGCGCCGCCCCUACCCCGCACCGCCGCCUCCGCUCGCUCCGGAUGUCGGCCUCCAACCACUCCGGUGCCGGCGCCUGCUCCCCCUCCGCCCCCUCGCCGCCCCCGGCCCUCGCGGUGAGUCUGAUGCGUCCUCCUCCUCCUCACGCGUCGCCACUGCCACACCAGCCGCCGCCGCCGCCGCAGCCCCGUCCACAUCAUCCUUGUCCUUCCCCGUCCCUGCUGUCGAUGGCGAGGAUGAUGACGAGGACGUCGACGAGGUCAACGGCUUCGACGCACUGAGCGAGUACGACGCCGGCGUGACGGAGAUCGACGAGGAGGACGAAAAGGCCCUCACUGCAUUCAUGUCCAAGGAAACCUCCUCCAAACGAUCUCUUGGUGAUAUCAUCCUCCAGAAGAUCAGAGAGAAGGACGCCACUAUCUCAACAUGUAAGCAUCCAUUCUCGACGCUGAUGCUUCUUAUUUAUUGA
This 591-nucleotide ribosomal RNA is filed under the name Triticum aestivum (bread wheat). Its description in RNAcentral is "partial small subunit ribosomal RNA". Lineage: Eukaryota; Viridiplantae; Streptophyta; Magnoliopsida; Poales; Poaceae. The record is from RNAcentral.